This 503-nucleotide ribosomal RNA is filed under the name uncultured bacterium. RNAcentral describes it as "bacterial SSU rRNA". It matches the Rfam family "Bacterial small subunit ribosomal RNA", at positions 28 to 488 of the family's 1533-position model. The record is from RNAcentral.
GAUGAACGCUGGCGGCGUGCCUAACACAUGCAAGUCGAACGAGAAGCUGACCUUUGAUUCCUUCGGGAUGAUGAGGUUGGCAGAGAGUGGCGAACGGGUGAGUAACGCGUGGGUAAUCUACCCUAAAGUGGGGGAUAACCCUCCGAAAGGAGGGUUAAUACCGCAUAAUAUCUUCUCCUCCCAAGAGGUAAAGAUUAAAGGUGGCCUCUAUUUAUAAGCUAUCACUUUAGGAUGAGCCCGCGUCCUAUUAGUUAGUUGGUGGGGUAAUGGCCUACCAAGACCACAAUGGGUAGCCGGUCUGAGAGGAUGUACGGCCACACUGGGACUGAGAUACGGCCCAGACUCCUACGGGAGGCAGCAGUGGGGAAUAUUGCGCAAUGGGGGAAACCCUGACGCAGCGACGCCGCGUGGACGAUGAAGGCCUUCGGGUUGUAAAGUCCUGUUCUGGGGGAAGAAACCUUAAGGGUCCAAUAAACCCUUAAGCUGACGGUACCCCAAGAGAA